This is a long non-coding RNA of Triticum aestivum (bread wheat), 3163 nucleotides long. RefSeq lists it as uncharacterized. NCBI's taxonomy places the organism in Eukaryota, Viridiplantae, Streptophyta, Magnoliopsida, Poales, Poaceae. The transcript is spliced from 3 exons. The record is from RefSeq and is a predicted model, not a curated record.
CCACUGUAGGCGCUAUUCACGCCGGUUCUAUGAAUAGGAAAAACUUUCUCCUAAUCUAACCAACACCGCGGAAGAUCCUCUCCAGCUGACCCGAUAUUAGCGCCAGAUCCAGUCAAUCGCUCGCCGCCGGCCGUCCUCUCGUGAGUGGCACAAGUAUUUGGUGCUUAGCAUUUGACUGAUCUCCUGGACAGAUGUGCAAAGAAACCACCUGACGGCUUGAUCAUGGAAACAAACAUGGACAUGGAAAACUAUGCGGGUUGAUCAUGGGAGACACACACACAAUCUGAAGUCCGAUAUGAAAUCCUCCUCGGCUGCAGGCGCACACUGUCGUCAGUGUGGAAGGCGUCAUGCUGUUGUGGAGAGCGUCAAGGUUAGCUUCAAAGUAAUCAAGCAAGAAGGAGUGGUUCAAGGGCUUCAGCGAGAUUGAUUCAUUGCCUUGCAUGUAGUUAUCCACUAAUUUAUCCUCUUUAAGAACAAUAUAUGUUGAAGAGUUGAAACGGUUUCUUUUGUAUUUCUGUUUGAUCCUACAGAAGUGGGGCCUGCAAAUCGGUUGCUUAGAUCUUCUAUUAACUCAGUGUUAGGUGAUAGUUCCGAUAUUUGUGUUCCACUUCCACAGAAAAUAAGGAGAAACAUCCAGCGCCAAAGAAUACAAUUAGAGUUUCAAUUGCGGCAGCAGGGGUGUUGAGACUUCAGAGUAACCGGGUGUGCUCCCAUGUGGCACCAGGUCAUGAAACUUCUCACGGAUGCAUUGUAGGCAAAGACAGCAGAGGGCUCUUGCUUGCUUCCGGCAGGAACGAUCUGAUUGGUGUCACACAAUCUGCAACUGCGUAUAUGGUGAAUACGUAUCUUCUAAGGAUUCACGAUCGAGAAGCGAGGUUGCUCGAUUGAUUUCUUACAUAAGCAUAACCAUGCAAAAUUAGUGCAAGUUGUUUAAAUUAAAAAACAGAACAGAUUUAAUAAUUGUUUCAUUUUUCAGAUGCUUAAGAAAAUAGCUAUUAGUACACAAAAGUUUAUUUCUAAUGUUCCAUCUAUAAUCUUUUCUUUUUGUUUUGAAGUAGUUCUACGUGGUAAUUUAUUCUAAAAGAUACAAGCAAACUUAUGUGCCAUUACAGAGGGGCAUCCAACUAAAAUAAUUAGUUUAAAUGUGAGGCAUUUUAAAUUCAUUCUGAAAGAUACGACCAAACCAGUAUCAAUGAUUCUACUGCAGUACUAUUCGAGUAGAUAGUUUAUGCCACUAUCAAUGAUUCUACUACUGUGUUGUUCAAGCACAUGGGUGACAGGGUCAUGAUUUCUUACCUCCAUUAUUACUGAACAUGUAAUGUGGUUUUGCUAAAUCUUUAUAUCAUUCCGUAUGUGAGAUGUGUGUGCAAGACAUCGACUGGUAGUAGCAUAGCUGAAAAUAUAUAGAUCCAGGAUACAAGGCAUGGUAUAUCGAAAUUAAAAAGUGAUCCAUGACAGAUGGCAUAUGCACUCUGCUCUUGGCCUCUUAGUCGACACAGAGAAUGUAGAUGUAAUAAGGUAGUACAUGCCGAAACCACAAGGGCUUCAACCUUGACGUAGACAUUGAAUACAUGGUUGUGACAUGCAAAAGUUAAUGCUUGCAUCCAAAUAUUUUGUCACAUGGUGGUCUUCUUAGAACCACAAUCUCAUUAUUCCUUUGGAUUUGAGCUGAACUCACCAAGGAAUUUCUGAUUUGCUACUUUCAAUUCUCAUUUUUUUUCCUCUCUGUAUAUUUAAUCAACUGCAAAGGGUUAACAGAUUAUAUUGGAUUGUACUUGGUCACUUGGAAUGAGAUUUAAGUUAGACAUUCUUGUGCCCAUCGGGUAUUCCUAUAAAGCAAUGCCGCUGUGGUGUGACAAACAAAAAUUAGAUGUCUCCUGGUGUUGGCAACAAAUCCGCUUGCAGGUUAAAGAUUCAUCUUCCCAUAAAUUCCUUUUCUACCACUUUUUAAGUUUGGAAGGUAAAUAUGCGAGAUGUGACAUUAUGAACCUUUAUUGUUGCUGCCGCGUAAGUUAUAUAAUUAACAAGUGUUGACCUUGAUUUGUUUUCUUCCUUCUCCCCAAUUCAAUACUUCUCUAAUUUUAUUUCUUUGUGGAAAUUGUAUGUGAACCAACAACAUGUGAUAUGAUUUGAUUGUUGAUUUCAUUUGGCAUGCUAAGCACAUGAUAAAGAGGUUACUAUGUUUCUUCACAUGAUAAAGUGGUAACUAUGUUUCUUUACAUGACAAAGAGGUUACUAUAGUUGUCUCUCCCAAGAGUUUACAUGGAUUUCGAUUCACCAAGAUAUAAUAGAACAUGAAGACAUAGACUAAAUUUCUUGCGGCAGUAUAUAUGAAGUCUUCUAUGCAUGGUAGCAAAAAUGAAUUCUUUUACCUCCUUACCAUAUUAGUUUUUGCUCAAACGGAUGUAUCUAGCACUGAAAUACAUAUAUAUACAUCCAUCUCAGUGACAACUAAUAUGGGACAGAGACUUGCUAACAAGUAUCUCUUUCAAGAUAUAUUUGAGAGGAAAAUAGUAUGCAGCACAUUUUAUGCAAAUGUAACAUACAAAUUUGAUGUAGUAAUUUAACUUAUAAUUCAAGGAAGGAGUUUGUAAAUGCAUAAGCAACAACUGAAUCACACAAUAUGGUUGAUAAGCGCUAAACAUGUGUAUUUGACCAUUACUUGGUGCUAAACAUGUGUAUUUGAUGUAGCUAUUUGUCCUGAAAAAUAGGACAUUUUAGAAUCUAGCAUGGUGCUAAACAUGUCUAUUUGACCACUACUUGGUGCAUACAAUUAUUAGUGGAAAUUAUCUUCAUGAAAAUUUAAUGGUACAUAAAAACUUAAAAUAGACAUGUGCAUAAACUGACACACUGAGUUUGGUCCACAACCCGGAAUAUGAUUAGAGAUCAGAAGUUUUUUUCUUCGCAGAUAUAGAACAUAACCCAUGCAUAGACAAUCUAACUCCGAACUACUUUGAUAGUAAUAACUAUAAAUAUAUUUUCUUAAUAUUUAUACCAAAUAGGUAUUUAUUACACUAGCCCGUGCAAUUGCACGGGUUGACGUCGAGUAUUUAUAAUUAUCCUCACUAUAUUUUGCAGAUUGAAGAUCGUUGAAUUGAAGAAACGACAAAUCGGUGAUAUUGGGUUCAUUAACACAAAUAUCAUAGAUGCAACUCAGGUUAAA